GAACCUUACCAGCUCUUGACAUGCCCGGUAUGGGCGGGAGAGAUCCCGUCCUUCGGUUCGGCCGGCCGGGACACAGGUGCUGCAUGGCUGUCGUCAGCUCGUGUCGUGAGAUGUUGGGUUAAGUCCCGCAACGAGCGCAACCCUCGCCCUUAGUUGCCAUCAUUUAGUUGGGCACUCUAAGGGGACUGCCGGUGAUAAGCCGCGAGGAAGGUGGGGAUGACGUCAAGUCCUCAUGGCCCUUACAGGCUGGGCCACACACGUGCUACAAUGGCGGUGACAAUGGGACGCAAUGGGGAGACCCUGCGCAAAUCUCAAAAAGCCGUCUCAGUUCGGAUUGUGCUCUGCAACUCGAGCACAUGAAGUUGGAAUCGCUAGUAAUCGCAGAUCAGCACGCUGCGGUGAAUACGUUCCCGGGCCUUGUCACACCGA
Molecule: ribosomal RNA, 429 nt
Filed under: uncultured soil bacterium
Lineage: Bacteria
Description: bacterial SSU rRNA
Rfam family: Bacterial small subunit ribosomal RNA
Source: RNAcentral